AAUAGGAAAUAUGAAGUUGAAAUCAUGCGAAUAUAAGAAAAUUGAAUGCUAAAUUAAGCAAUUCAUCUGAUAGUACAGGCGAAAAAAAUCAAGGAAGAGACCUAAAAAACAUUAGAUAUAUAAGAUCAAAGAGGAUACAAGACAAAAAACUUAGACAAAAACCGUGACGUGGACAAACAUAGAUGACAAAACAAGGAACAGGAAAGAAUAGAACGAGUUCAUUCGGUCUUCUGUCACUAGAUAUGAAGGGAAAAGAAGAUAAAGAAGAAACUUUCUCCAUACAAAUGGAAGAAGAAGAAAGUUGAAGCCAUUUUCGAAAGAGUAUUAUUGAAACUAUAACAUGAUAAAAUGUAGAUGCUGUUUUUAAGAGAAUAGUUGAAGAGUAUCGUGAGAAGCCAAGUCAUACGAAUAGAGAAAAAGCCAAUAUUAAACAGUAUUACACCAGAUCUUACAGGAAGAAGAAUCAAGAAGAGACAUUGAAUAGUAAAAAUCAUGAUCUUAUUUGUAAUUCAAGCUGAGUGAAGAAUGGGAAACUUCCAUGAUUUUCAUGAUAAAAGAUUCCUUAUCCCUCAUUCAAGACAGAUAAAACUUCAGUGAACUGAAUCUAAUCCAUCCUAUAAGAUACAACUCAUUCA
Centruroides sculpturatus (bark scorpion) is the source of this 635-nucleotide long non-coding RNA. RefSeq lists it as uncharacterized. The transcript has 3 exons. NCBI's taxonomy places the organism in Eukaryota, Metazoa, Arthropoda, Arachnida, Scorpiones, Buthidae. The record is from RefSeq and is a predicted model, not a curated record.